UUUGUGAUUAGCCAUUGCUUCCUUGUAGUCUGAAUGGUUGCUGGUAACCAGCAGAAAGACCUCAGCUGGAGCCUGGGACUGUAACACGGAGGGUGCUCAAGAAACAAAGGAAGGGAGUUAUUCUUCACUGAGUGAGGGCUACAACAGCACAGACUCUGAGAAUGAAUUCAAUGCAUCCCAGAGGAGGAAGGAGUUAUCACCAGGCCAGGUUCCUGGGCGUUUUUAAGCUGUGUCCCCAGUGCAGGCUGUAUUGCGGCUGCUCGGAGGAGACGUCACCUCGCCAGGACCCGAGCUGAUUAUCUUCCCUUGGAUGCUUCAAAUGAUCGUCAGCUUUCUCAGAGAAGAGAAGGCGGUGAUUCAGAGGAUGAGGACGAGCCUGGUAGGAAUCAUCUCUAUUUUGUUCCUAAAAAGAGAACUCUUAGGCGUAGGAUGGCUGAACGCGUGGGUGAGUUGGUGCCUUUUCUCCCAGAGAGAGGCUGUGUCUUUUACUGAUGGAUGUCCGGAAGAAUGUGAGACUUGCCCAGUGAAGAGUGCAGUGCAAAGUUUUGCCCUUGAUCUUGACAGAAGACCAUAAUGCUUGGUGGUCCUUGAGGCUUAUGUGGGCUGUUCCUGCUCUCCACACACUGACAUUACGACUGUUAUGGGAAAGGGGUAAAAACAAACCAACAACAAAACACAACCAACCAGAGCCAGCCAGCCCUUUGGAAGUAGGCAGACUUACUGCAUGCCAAGCGUAUGUGGCUUUUCGGUUGCUCCUUAACUCAUCUUGCUGUUUGCAGUUUCACUUACAAAGCACUGGUUUGCCAGGCUUGUAGACCAAUCGCUUUAUUGUUUGGAUAAUGGUUGUAAGUAAUAUGCAGGUAUGGUCUGACUCUAUUGCUGUAAUAAAUGCUACG
Gallus gallus (chicken) is the source of this 896-nucleotide long non-coding RNA. NCBI's taxonomy places the organism in Eukaryota, Metazoa, Chordata, Aves, Galliformes, Phasianidae. The record is from Ensembl.